CUCUGGCCCUUGGCCAAACUCUGCUUGCUCAACCAAAUUAUGGAACCUCAAAACGAUCUUGAAACAUGUGAACUUGGCUUGGAGAACUCUACAAAAUUGUUUUCCUGUUAAAGAAUCUUAUCAGAAUUGAAGGGUUCUGGUGGAUGCUUCAUGUCCACGUUGCAAUGAAAAAAGGAAGACAUCAAUCAUGUCUUUUGUUGGUGUCCAUGGGAAAAACAAGUUUGGUUUUACUCCACUUUGAAGCCCAAGUUUGAUCAAUUCUCUCCAGAUUUCCCUACUUGGCUUGAAAUACUAUCUCCACAUCCUCUUUAGAUGUUAGCGAGUUUAUUUUAUAUGUUAUAGUAUAUCGUACUCUCGCAAUAAAUUUUAUUUUGAAGGUAAAACCUUAGAAGUUGGAGCAGUUCUUAAAGCUUGAAAUCUAAUAGAAGACUAUAAGGUAAUGCUGAAUACAUUACACAGUGACGCCGUCAAUCCAUAAUAUGUCUCUCCGACCAGAUGGAGUCCAUAUCCGAAUAACUUUUAUAAAAUCAACGUCAAUUUUGU
RNAcentral lists this long non-coding RNA (543 nucleotides) under Cicer arietinum (chickpea). RNAcentral's name for it is "long non-coding RNA (CARI_LNC001799)". Lineage: Eukaryota; Viridiplantae; Streptophyta; Magnoliopsida; Fabales; Fabaceae. The record is from RNAcentral.